GACGAACGCUGGCGGCGUGCUUAACACAUGCAAGUCGAACGGUGAAGCGAGUGCUUGCACUCGUGGAUCAGUGGCGAACGGGUGAGUAACACGUGAGUAACCUGCCCAUCACUCUGGGAUAAGCACUGGAAACGGUGUCUAAUACUGGAUACGACCAACCCUUGCAUGGGGUGUUGGUGGAAAGAUUUAUCGGUGAUGGAUGGACUCGCGGCCUAUCAGCUUGUUGGCGGGGUAAUGGCCCACCAAGGCGACGACGGGUAGCCGGCCUGAGAGGGUGACCGGCCACACUGGGACUGAGACACGGCCCAGACUCCUACGGGAGGCAGCAGUGGGGAAUAUUGCACAGUGGGCGAAAGCCUGAUGCAGCGACGCCGCGUGAGGGAUGACGGCCUUCGGGUUGUAAACCUCUUUCAGCAGGGAAGAAGCGAAAGUGACGGUACCUGCAGAAGAAGCACCGGCUAACUACGUG
This 469-nucleotide ribosomal RNA is filed under the name uncultured bacterium. Its description in RNAcentral is "partial 16S ribosomal RNA". It matches the Rfam family "Bacterial small subunit ribosomal RNA", at positions 28 to 507 of the family's 1533-position model. The record is from RNAcentral.